This 694-nucleotide ribosomal RNA is filed under the name uncultured bacterium. Its description in RNAcentral is "bacterial SSU rRNA". It matches the Rfam family "Bacterial small subunit ribosomal RNA", at positions 32 to 715 of the family's 1533-position model. The record is from RNAcentral.
AACGCUAGCUACAGGCUUAACACAUGCAAGUCGAGGGGCAGCAUGGUCUUAGCUUGCUAAGGCCGAUGGCGACCGGCGCACGGGUGAGUAACACGUAUCCAACCUGCCGUCUACUCUUGGACAGCCUUCUGAAAGGAAGAUUAAUACAAGAUGGCAUCAUGAGUCCGCAUGUUCACAUGAUUAAAGGUAUUCCGGUAGACGAUGGGGAUGCGUUCCAUUAGAUAGUAGGCGGGGUAACGGCCCACCUAGUCUUCGAUGGAUAGGGGUUCUGAGAGGAAGAUCCCCCACAUUGGAACUGAGACACGGUCCAAACUCCUACGGGAGGCAGCAGUGAGGAAUAUUGGUCAAUGGGCGAGAGCCUGAACCAGCCAAGUAGCGUGAAGGAUGACUGCCCUAUGGGUUGUAAACUUCUUUUAUAAAGGAAUAAAGUCGGGUAUGGAUACCCGUUUGCAUGUACUUUAUGAAUAAGGAUCGGCUAACUCCGUGCCAGCAGCCGCGGUAAUACGGAGGAUCCGAGCGUUAUCCGGAUUUAUUGGGUUUAAAGGGAGCGUAGAUGGAUGUUUAAGUCAGUUGUGAAAGUUUGCGGCUCAACCGUAAAAUUGCAGUUGAUACUGGAUAUCUUGAGUGCAGUUGAGGCAGGCGGAAUUCGUGGUGUAGCGGUGAAAUGCUUAGAUAUCACGAAGAACUCCGAUUG